This 512-nucleotide ribosomal RNA is filed under the name Cladosporium sp. 2-12s. RNAcentral's name for it is "eukaryotic LSU rRNA". The stretch from base 146 to 299 matches the Rfam family "5.8S ribosomal RNA". Lineage: Eukaryota; Fungi; Ascomycota; Dothideomycetes; Cladosporiales; Cladosporiaceae. The record is from RNAcentral.
CGGUUUACCACCGGGAUGUUCAUAACCCUUUGUUGUCCGACUCUGUUGCCUCCGGGGCGACCCUGCCUUCGGGCGGGGGCUCCGGGUGGACACUUCAAACUCUUGCGUAACUUUGCAGUCUGAGUAAACUUAAUUAAUAAAUUAAAACUUUUAACAACGGAUCUCUUGGUUCUGGCAUCGAUGAAGAACGCAGCGAAAUGCGAUAAGUAAUGUGAAUUGCAGAAUUCAGUGAAUCAUCGAAUCUUUGAACGCACAUUGCGCCCCCUGGUAUUCCGGGGGGCAUGCCUGUUCGAGCGUCAUUUCACCACUCAAGCCUCGCUUGGUAUUGGGCAACGCGGUCCGCCGCGUGCCUCAAAUCGACCGGCUGGGUCUUCUGUCCCCUAAGCGUUGUGGAAACUAUUCGCUAAAGGGUGUUCGGGAGGCUACGCCGUAAAACAACCCCAUUUCUAAGGUUGACCUCGGAUCAGGUAGGGAUACCCGCUGAACUUAAGCAUAUCAAUAAGCCGGAGGAA